AACAGGUUCACAUGAAGACUGUGUAAUUUGUUGUUUUAUUGUUUUAUUCUCCUGAAAAAUUAUUUGCAGGACCCAAAUGUUUAUCUGGAUGUGAGGGCUUCUUAUAAUGUUGUAAUGGAAUAAUAGUGAUCUGACACAUUACACAAACCAUGUGACCCUGUAUGAACCUCACCUGCUGAGCUGAUGGUUGUGUAGUGGUCAGUUGCAGACCUUCAUGGCCCUGUGCAGUGUGGGGGUGAUGUGGUGAUGUGUUGGUCUCUUCCUACAAGAUGAGUGGCAGAAUGUGAGCAGUUAAGGCUGUUCCAUACCCCACAAGAACAAAAAACAUUCUUCUGACAUCAUUUUGUUCUCGGAGCGCUUGUUCGGCAGCUCUUGUUCUCGAGGCAUCGUCCAUACAAGAACGUUCUUGUUCGCACCAGCUUGUGAGCAAGAAGAAGGUUCUUUGUUCUCGUGGAGUAUGGAAGAAGCUUUAGGCUGGCUGUGGUGGAUGUUCAUCCCUCUGAAGGUCCUCCUCUGCUCUGCUCCUCAGGCUCGGCUUGAAAUGGUGGAGAAGCGCUCGGUGGCCGCUCUGGCUCACAUGACGAGGCUACAGCAGCAGAGUCGACCAGCUUCUGCUGAUGGAGCGGACCUCCUCAGGAUCCAUCCAAAGAAAGAACCAACAACACAAAAGGAAGGUGGAGAGCUCUUUGAAAUGAUGGUAAAUAUGUUCAGCAGUUAUUCUUUCUGUGUUUCUCUGGGUGAGUUAAACAUUUAUGUUGCCUCACAUGGAUCUUUC
Parambassis ranga (Indian glassy fish) is the source of this 775-nucleotide long non-coding RNA. The record is from Ensembl. NCBI's taxonomy places the organism in Eukaryota, Metazoa, Chordata, Actinopteri, Ambassidae.